GACGUACGCUGGCGGCGUGCUUAACACAUGCAAGUCGAGCGGAGCGGCGAACGGGUGAGGAACGCGUGAGUAACUGCCCCCCUCCCUGGGAUAACAGUUGGAAGCGGCUGCUAAUACAGGAUAGUGGGGGAUGACUCGGGUCUUAUUGGCUUGUUGGUGGGGUGAUGGCGUACCAAGGCGUCGACGGGUAGCCGGCCUGAGAGGGCGACCGGCCACAUAGGGCUGCGUUACGGCCCAAACUCCUACGGGAGGCAGCGGUGGGGAUGAUGGCACAAUGGGGGAAACCCUGAUUCAGCAACCCGCGAUCGGUAUGACGGCCUUCGGUUUGAAAACGGCUUUCAGCGAUUACGGGGUAGUGGCAGAAGAAGCACCGGCUAACUACGUGCCAGCAGCCGCGGUAAUUC
RNAcentral lists this ribosomal RNA (404 nucleotides) under uncultured bacterium. RNAcentral describes it as "partial 16S ribosomal RNA". It matches the Rfam family "Bacterial small subunit ribosomal RNA", at positions 28 to 526 of the family's 1533-position model. The record is from RNAcentral.